GUUUCUGUAGUUGAACACAACGGUGGUUUUUC
Molecule: transfer RNA, 32 nt
Filed under: Atherina boyeri (big-scale sand smelt)
Lineage: Eukaryota; Metazoa; Chordata; Actinopteri; Atheriniformes; Atherinidae
Description: partial tRNA-Glu
Source: RNAcentral